GAAUUUUUGAUUAACGCCUGCCACGGCAGGCCAUUGGGAAG
Xenorhabdus bovienii SS-2004 is the source of this 41-nucleotide non-coding RNA. Lineage: Bacteria; Pseudomonadati; Pseudomonadota; Gammaproteobacteria; Enterobacterales; Morganellaceae. The record is from Rfam.